UAAUGUCACGUGACUAAGGUGAAUCUGCGCACGUGCACAGCUGUUUAAAAUUUGUGGAAAUACUGUGUCACUUCUCGUCACUCAGGAAAUUGAAGGAAAACUACAGGAACCCAAAUCAGACGCGUGGCUCGCUAAUUGAUGGCCCACCUCCCAAAACCCCAAGUGCGAGGUGCUUGACACUCGAAAAUGACCGCUGGUGUGAACUGCAGGGGAGCAUAGAGGAGUGAAAAGAAGUGAGGAAACAGAGAUGGAUUUCUGAAUCCUUAUAAUUAGUCUUCUUGAGUGCAUGACUUGGUGAAGAUCUGAGUCCACAGCAUGAAAAGGCAGAAGGAGGAGAGAAGCUGAAAAGGUGUCGCUCCUAGUCGUCUGGGAACCUCAGCACUGAGAUUUACCCACAACCCUUCACCCUGCUGCGCCGCUCACCAGGAUACAAACAACCUUUGUGGGUUCCCUCUCCAAUGAGGUCCAAUUUAGACAAACUGAGGGUUUUGUGUUUUUGGGAUCUGGGCUGCUUCCGUUUCAUUCUCUGGCGUUAAUUUUACAAUACACAGGAACAAACCAGGAAUCAGCGUGUCAUUGUGUGUUUUUGAUUUCAAUACAAAAAGCUUUCCUUUCUUUCACAGGGAUUUUUUACUAAGCUGCAUUAAUAAUUAAACUUAAAUAAUUUGUAUUUUUUUAAAUAAAUGAAAAUCAGUCUUUUUAAUGAGUGGAACAGUUUAAAAAAUGUUCAGAUUUUAUUAUUAUUAUUUUUUGAAUGUGCUAAAUGGGAAAUUCACUUCAGAGCUUCAGGGAGAGGAGCGAAACAGCAAGAGCCUUUCAGGGAUUGUCUUUAGAGCAGCUGAUUUUAUUUUUAAUUAAUGAAGUAGUGAACUCCAUGUUCACCAAAGUAGGUGAUAUUCACUCAACAUGCCAACUUUAAUUAUAAUAAUAAUAAUAAUAAUAAUAGUAAUAAUAGUAAUAUUAUAAUACAUUUAUUUAUAUAGAAACUUUGGAAAACAGAUGUCCCAAUGGCUUUACAAAGAAAAACAAAUGGAUAAUUCAAAAAGAACCGACAAGAAUAGAAAGAAUCUAAGAAAGCAGGAAUAUUCCUCUCAACACUGGCUGCAUAAAAGAUCAAAUAGAAGAGUUUGUUCUCUAACUUCUCCUCAAAAACAAAAUCAAACACCUAUAAAGUGUUUGUGCUCUACUCUUUUCUGUUUCUUUGUGUUUUUUGUCAUGUAAUCAAACAUGUUCGGCUCUUGUCAUUUAUGUUUUUCUCCCAUUUCUCAUAAUCAUAAAAUAUAUUUAUUAUUAAAUAUUUUUGAAUCUCCUUUUACCUCUUCACAUUUUUUUCUGAAGCAGCAGUUUGCACUAGGAGCUUUCUCAGACACAUUUUUCUGCUUCAACACAAAGGCAUUGAUAUUUUGAAUUAAAAAACAGUAGACCCGCUGAAAUGUUUUUUAUUGAGAGGUUCCCUUUUGAAACGGAGACAGUAUUUUCACUAAAAGGAACUUAAAUCUUCCCAGCGUCUUCUAUUGUUUGCAUGUCUGUCCUCUGCUGCUUUAUGUAGUGUUAAAAACCCUCUGAUUGGCUGAUAUUUCCUGAUCCUGAUUUAUUGACCGGACUCUAGAUCAUUCGUAGUAAUACAUGUAAUCAGAAAACGUUGUUGUAGUAAAUUCCUGUUUGAUGUAUUUCAGAGAUCUGAAA
Notolabrus celidotus (New Zealand spotty) is the source of this 1686-nucleotide long non-coding RNA. RefSeq lists it as uncharacterized. The record is from RefSeq and is a predicted model, not a curated record. The transcript has 3 exons. Lineage: Eukaryota; Metazoa; Chordata; Actinopteri; Labriformes; Labridae.